UGCGUAGGCGGCUAUGUAAGUCAGAAGUGAAAGCUCUCAGCUUAACUGAGGAAUUGCUUUUGAUACUGCAUAGCUUGAAUAAGGUUGAGGUUGGCGGAAUGUGGCAUGUAGCGGUGAAAUGCAUAGAUAUGCCAUAGAACACCGAUUGCGAAGGCGGCUGACUAGACCUUUAUUGACGCUGAGGCACGAAAGCGUGGGGAGCGAACAGGAUUAGAUACCCUGGUAGUCC
RNAcentral lists this ribosomal RNA (229 nucleotides) under uncultured bacterium. RNAcentral describes it as "partial 16S ribosomal RNA". It matches the Rfam family "Bacterial small subunit ribosomal RNA", at positions 568 to 796 of the family's 1533-position model. The record is from RNAcentral.